UACGUAGGGUGCGAGCGUUGUCCGGAAUUAUUGGGCGUAAAGAGCUCGUAGGCGGUGUGUCACGUCGGCCGUGAAAACCUGCAGCUUAACUGUGGGCGUGCGGUCGAUACGGGCAUCACUGGAGUUCGGCAGGGGAGACUGGAAUUCCCGGUGUAGUGGUGAAAUGCGUAGAUAUCUGGAGGAAUACCGGUGGCGAAGGCGGCAUCCUGGACCGACAUUGACGCUGAACGGCGAAAGCUAGGGGAGCAAACGGG
This 254-nucleotide ribosomal RNA is filed under the name uncultured bacterium. RNAcentral's name for it is "partial 16S ribosomal RNA". It matches the Rfam family "Bacterial small subunit ribosomal RNA", at positions 524 to 776 of the family's 1533-position model. The record is from RNAcentral.